This 305-nucleotide ribosomal RNA is filed under the name uncultured bacterium. Its description in RNAcentral is "bacterial SSU rRNA". It matches the Rfam family "Bacterial small subunit ribosomal RNA", at positions 338 to 640 of the family's 1533-position model. The record is from RNAcentral.
CCUACGGGGGGCAGCAGUGAGGAAUAUUGGUCAAUGGACGCAAGUCUGAACCAGCCAUGCCGCGUGCAGGAAGAAGGUGCUAUGCAUUGUAAACUGCUUUUAUACGGGGGUAAUUACAGAUACGUGUAUCUGGAUGAAAGUACCGUAUGAAUAAGGAUCGGCUAACUCCGUGCCAGCAGCCGCGGUAAUACGGAGGAUCCGAGCGUUAUCCGGAUUUAUUGGGUUUAAAGGGUGCGUAGGCGGUCAGGUAAGUUAGAGGUGAAAGCUCGAUGCUCAACAUCGAAACUGCCUCUGAUACUGUCUGA